UGGGGAAUUUUGGACAAUGGGCGAAAGCCUGAUCCAGCAAUGCCGCGUGUGUGAAGAAGGCCUUCGGGUUGUAAAGCACUUUUGUCCGGAAAGAAAUCCUUGGCUCUAAUACAGUCGGGGGAUGACGGUACCGGAAGAAUAAGCACCGGCUAACUACGUGCCAGCAGCCGCGGUAAUACGUAGGGUGCAAGCGUUAAUCGGAAUUACUGGGCGUAAAGCGUGCGCAGGCGGUUUGCUAAGACCGAUGUGAAAUCCCCGGGCUCAACCUGGGAACUGCAUUGGUGACUGGCAGGCUAGAGUAUGGCAGAGGGGGGUAGAAUUCCACGUNUAGCAGUGAAAUGCGUAGAGAUGUGGAGGAAUACCGAUGGCGAAGGCAGCCCCCUGGGCCAAUACUGACGCUCAUGCACGAAAGCGUGGGGAGCAAAACAGGAUUAGAUACCCUGGUAGUCCACGCCCUAAACGAUGUCAACUAGUUGUUGGGGAUUCAUUUCCUUAGUAACGUAGCUAACGCGUGAAGUUGACCGCCUGGGGAGUACGGUCGCAAGAUUAAAAACUUAAAUGAAUUGACGGGGUCAUAGCUG
Molecule: ribosomal RNA, 581 nt
Filed under: uncultured bacterium
Lineage: Bacteria
Description: partial 16S ribosomal RNA
Rfam family: Bacterial small subunit ribosomal RNA
Source: RNAcentral